Molecule: small nucleolar RNA, 109 nt
Organism: Dioscorea cayenensis subsp. rotundata (Guinea yam)
Lineage: Eukaryota; Viridiplantae; Streptophyta; Magnoliopsida; Dioscoreales; Dioscoreaceae
Source: RefSeq, a predicted model, not a curated record
AAUCCAUGUUGAGGACAUUUCUGCAGGAGCUCCUUGAACCUCUCCCUAUGUCUCAAAUAGAGACUCCAAUUUCCAUUUGCAUGAAGGAGGAUAUUUUAUUCCUAAGCUU